RNAcentral lists this transfer RNA (65 nucleotides) under Bromius obscurus. RNAcentral's name for it is "tRNA-Ile". Lineage: Eukaryota; Metazoa; Arthropoda; Insecta; Coleoptera; Chrysomelidae. The record is from RNAcentral.
UGUAAAGUGCCUGACUAAAGGGUAAUUUUGAUAGAAUUAACAAUGUAUAAUUAAUACCUUUACAA